This 232-nucleotide ribosomal RNA is filed under the name uncultured bacterium. RNAcentral's name for it is "partial 16S ribosomal RNA". It matches the Rfam family "Bacterial small subunit ribosomal RNA", at positions 118 to 347 of the family's 1533-position model. The record is from RNAcentral.
UGAGUAACCUGCCCUUAACUCUGGGAUAAGCCUGGGAAACUGGGUCUAAUACCGGAUAUGACUCCUCAUCGCAUGGUGGGGGGUUGGAAAGCUUUUCGGCUGGGGAUGGGCCCGCGGCCUAUCAGCUUGUUGGUGGGGUGAUGGCCUACCAAGGCGACGACGGGUAGCCGGCCCGAGAGGGUGUCCGGCCACACUGGGACUGAGACACGGCCCAGACUCCGUACGGGAGCAG